CUUUCUUCUUCUCUGCUUAUUCUUACCACAAUUUCCUUCAUCCACCGAGUCACCACCAGCCAAUUAUCCCGAAAUAGAGCCCAACUCAUUGAGUCUACUCGACACAACCUUGAAUGGAUGAUUUACUCCAUUGCUUCCUCCGGUCUUUCUUCCUCUUCUUCAUCGCCAAGCUGUCUUCGAAGGCGUCGAUGAUCUCAUGAAUGAGUUUGCGAUUAGGUGACGAGUCCCACCUAAUCCAGUAACUGGUGUAUCAGCUGAAGCAAUCAUAGAGGAAAAAAGAAAAGUGAUGAUCAUCUUCUUUGGGUUUUUCUUUCUUGAGGCAAGAGAUACGACUUGGGUCUCUGGAACUCGAGAUAAGGUGAAUACUGGCGCAAUAUGAAAACAACAUUGCUUUAGAACUUUCUCCUGUAAAAGCUGAGACAAGGAUUGCUUACUGGACAAGAUCGUUGAUGACAGAGGAAAGGUCAUCGUACAUGUGUACACCCUUCUACCCAAUCCUUAGUUCUUUAUAAAUCAAUGUAUGUUCCUUUCUCUUUGCUAAUAAAAUAAUGUGCAGGGGAAAUUAUAAGAACCCCAAGUUUUGGUCGAGGCAAAAUAAUCUGCAAUUAUGAGCCAUGUGUUCAAGUCCUCUGUUUUUGUUAUAUAGCCUCUGUUUUUUGGAUUCGAAAGCUAGAAAUUCCUUUGUUUUUGUUAGUGCCAAGGCUAUUAUAAGUAUGAUCCGACAUAAGUAUGCAAUAUCCAUUUAUAAAAUUCAUGUAUAAACACUACUUCAUAUAUUAUAAUAAUUCAAUUUGGCCA
Long non-coding RNA from Brassica oleracea var. oleracea, 798 nucleotides. RefSeq lists it as uncharacterized. NCBI's taxonomy places the organism in Eukaryota, Viridiplantae, Streptophyta, Magnoliopsida, Brassicales, Brassicaceae. The record is from RefSeq and is a predicted model, not a curated record. The transcript is spliced from 2 exons.